This 552-nucleotide ribosomal RNA is filed under the name Escherichia coli. RNAcentral describes it as "bacterial SSU rRNA". It matches the Rfam family "Bacterial small subunit ribosomal RNA", at positions 993 to 1533 of the family's 1533-position model. Lineage: Bacteria; Pseudomonadati; Pseudomonadota; Gammaproteobacteria; Enterobacterales; Enterobacteriaceae. The record is from RNAcentral.
GAACCUUGUAGAGAUACGAGGGUGCCUUCGGGAACUGUGAGACAGGUGCUGCAUGGCUGUCGUCAGCUCGUGUUGUGAAAUGUUGGGUUAAGUCCCGCAACGAGCGCAACCCUUAUCCUUUGUUGCCAGCGGUCCGGCCGGGAACUCAAAGGAGACUGCCAGUGAUAAACUGGAGGAAGGUGGGGAUGACGUCAAGUCAUCAUGGCCCUUACGACCAGGGCUACACACGUGCUACAAUGGCGCAUACAAAGAGAAGCGACCUCGCGAGAGCAAGCGGACCUCAUAAAGUGCGUCGUAGUCCGGAUUGGAGUCUGCAACUCGACUCCAUGAAGUCGGAAUCGCUAGUAAUCGUGGAUCAGAAUGCCACGGUGAAUACGUUCCCGGGCCUUGUACACACCGCCCGUCACACCAUGGGAGUGGGUUGCAAAAGAAGUAGGUAGCUUAACCUUCGGGAGGGCGCUUACCACUUUGUGAUUCAUGACUGGGGUGAAGUCGUAACAAGGUAACCGUAGGGGAACCUGCGGUUGGAUCACCUCCUUACCUUAAAGAAGC